GCACGAGUGUUAAUUCGAAGUUAUAUACAAAUUAAUAAACAAUAAGUGCAAUACAAAAACCAAUUAUAUGCACAGAACUGAAAUUCCAUGCGAAUGGUUUUAGUGAAGGACUGUUGGAAAUUUCAACGAAAUGCAUGAAAUACUUGAAGCAUUAUCUAAUAUGAAUGCGCCUUCUAUAUAUUUAUGUUCG
This is a long non-coding RNA of Drosophila virilis, 190 nucleotides long. RefSeq lists it as uncharacterized. The record is from RefSeq and is a predicted model, not a curated record. Lineage: Eukaryota; Metazoa; Arthropoda; Insecta; Diptera; Drosophilidae.